Long non-coding RNA from Bombina bombina (fire-bellied toad), 313 nucleotides. RefSeq lists it as uncharacterized. The record is from RefSeq and is a predicted model, not a curated record. The transcript is spliced from 2 exons. Lineage: Eukaryota; Metazoa; Chordata; Amphibia; Anura; Bombinatoridae.
AGGUUACACAAGUGGGACCUGUAUUGAUCUCAGAUUCCACAAUCCUUUGGACCCUGGAGGUUACUAAUGGUGGCUUAUAUGACAGCUGAAAGUUCAUCGAUACUUGUUCAAUACCUGGGGUUACCAGGUGUCCAGUAUUUAACCGGACUGUCAAGUCAUUUAACUAUCUACGAUCACACUCUCCUCGCCGCUACAGAUCCUAUGAUUAAGUUCUCAUUGAGGGCACAAAACUAUUAAGGAUUGUUGUGCUAUGUGCCUUUGUUUUUUAAUCAUGCUUUAAUAAAGUCAGUUUUUAUUUUUACAGCCCUUUUUU